Marasmius fiardii PR-910 is the source of this 93-nucleotide non-coding RNA. The record is from the annotation of a GenBank genome assembly. NCBI's taxonomy places the organism in Eukaryota, Fungi, Basidiomycota, Agaricomycetes, Agaricales, Marasmiaceae.
GUGCCCGUAACUCAGUGGUAGAGUGUGAGAUUGCAAUAAUAUCCCAUAUUGCACACCAUCUUGAAGCCCCGUGUUCGACCCACGGCGGGCACU